This 253-nucleotide ribosomal RNA is filed under the name uncultured bacterium. RNAcentral describes it as "partial 16S ribosomal RNA". It matches the Rfam family "Bacterial small subunit ribosomal RNA", at positions 524 to 776 of the family's 1533-position model. The record is from RNAcentral.
UACGAAGGGUGCAAGCGUUAAUCGGAAUUACUGGGCGUAAAGCGCGCGUAGGUGGUUCAGUAAGUUGGAAGUGAAAUCCCCGGGCUCAACCUGGGAACUGCUUUCAAAACUGCUGAGCUAGAGUACGGUAGAGGGGGGUGGAAUUUCCUGUGUAGCGGUGAAAUGCGUAGAUAUAGGAAGGAACACCAGUGGCGAAGGCGACCACCUGGACUGAUACUGACACUGAGGUGCGAAAGCGUGGGGAGCAAACAGG